This is a long non-coding RNA of Megalobrama amblycephala (Wuchang bream), 1062 nucleotides long. RefSeq lists it as uncharacterized. Lineage: Eukaryota; Metazoa; Chordata; Actinopteri; Cypriniformes; Xenocyprididae. The transcript has 3 exons. The record is from RefSeq and is a predicted model, not a curated record.
CAAGUGUAGGCGAGACAGAAAUAAACAAAAAAAAAAAAAUCAGGUAUUUCUGGGAAAACCUUAAGAGAAAGAGAAAGCCUUAAACAAAGAACAAGGAAGAACAGACGUUACACGAAAUUGUGUUCAACCAGAGAUUGACACAAAAUGGACGCCACUAAAAAACUGAUUAUGGACACUCUUGAUCAGAUUGUGAGUGCAGAUUUCAAAAGGUUCAUCUGGCACCUGUGGAAUGGUGUAGGACACGACAUCGACCCUAUUCCUCGAGCUCUUCUCGAGAACGUGGAUCGUCAGGAUCUGGUGGAUAUUAUGGUCCAGAGAUACACUACUAAUGCUGGGACUGUCGCAGUACAAGUGCUGUGCAACAUCAACCAACAUGAUCUUGCAAAAAACCUUAAUUUGAAACUUCAGCAAGCGGGUUCUGGUGGACAAUAAGGAAGAUUUUAUCAUCAUCAAGCUCAUGAUCAGAUGGGAAGAUCCUUCUUUGGACAAGAUGCUCAGUGGCGUCUUGAAUCUCUGUGAGGGUCCUCACUGCAUCUUCAGUCCUCAUUCAUCUCUAAACAAGGGCUUUACAUCAUAAACAUGGUCAAGUCAGUAAUCUGCCACAAUAAUGUCAUGCCUUUUUAUUUGUCAUCUUCACUCUGACAAUAAUUACGUUCACAGCUCUACUCUAAACCAUUCAUCAUGGGGCCUCAUUUAUGCAGUUCAAUUAAAAACAAGUGAGAAUAAAGUACAAUCACUUCUACCAUAAUAGAUCAUAAAUAAAUAAAGUCAAGGAGCCUAAUGUGCCGCCUGAUGAGAUAUUCUUUACAGAUGGAUAAAAUUCAGAUUUUCACUGAUUGGGUGUAAUGGGUGAUGAAUUAUUGCUUGAGCAGUUACAUUUUAUUAUUUUUAUUUGUUAUAAUUAUUCUCAGAAUUUGGUGUUGGAUGUUGAAAUUAGAAACCAAUCAUUAAUGGUAGUGGAUGAUGAAUGAUUAUGUCAUUUACAUUUAUUCAUUCUGUGAUCAGUUUGUUUGGACAUUGAUUUCAAAACUUUUGUGUCUGUAUUAGUGGCUGCCGUGUGUA